This 664-nucleotide long non-coding RNA is filed under the name Vulpes vulpes (red fox). RNAcentral describes it as "lncRNA (ENSVVUG00000017046.1)". The record is from RNAcentral. Lineage: Eukaryota; Metazoa; Chordata; Mammalia; Carnivora; Canidae.
GUCAAGAAUCAAGACAAUAUUCAAGUCAAAGUCUAGUGGUAAACAUAUUUUAAGACUGGAGAGAGCAAGUCCAAAGACCAAUGCAGAAGCUGGAGGCCGCAAUCAAAGCAGAGUCUCAGAAUUGGAAGGAUAAACAGGCAGAAAUAGUCCAAAAACCAUGUGCCUCUGCUGACCUUGAGGAGUUCUCUCCAGUUGCAGUCACACACCUGUGGGCCCCAAGCCAUCUAUAUAUAUGCUGCAAGGAGCAGUUCUUUCUCAGAGUUAACUCCAGGAGAAUGUGCACCAUAUCCUAUAAGCAAAGGAAGACAGCAGUCCCAGUAAGGAGGAAUUCACUGGCAUUUGGCAAGAAUAACAAAACAGAGCCAGAAAUGAGGUCCUCAGGAGCAGAGGUCAGAGAUGAGGAUCAUGAAGAGCUACCUGCAGAAGCAGCUCAGUCUCAGAUCUGGUUCCUUGGAAUCAAAGAUUACCUGACUCAAGGGGGAAAUUCGCUGGGUAGAGCUUCAGAAGUAGAGAUGGGAGAGGAGACAUGUCAGAAUUAGAGGCAAGAUAUUUCAAAAAAUGGCCUCACUCCCAGGAAUAGGCUCACGUGGUGUCACACAGGAAGCCCACUGCCAGACUCCCAAGCCUGUGCUAAUGGGACACGUCCCCUGAACCAUUAAAGAUA